GACGAACACUGGCGGCGUGCUUAACACAUGCAAGUCGAACGGAAAGGCCCUGCUUUUGUGGGGUGCUCGAGUGGCGAACGGGUGAGUAACACGUGAGUAACCUGCCCGUGACUUUGGGAUAACUUCAGGAAACUGGGGCUAAUACCGGAUAGGAGCUCCUGCUGCAUGGUGGGGGUUGGAAAGUUUCGGCGGUUGGGGAUGGACUCGCGGCUUAUCAGCUUGUUGGUGGGGUAGUGGCUUACCAAGGCUUUGACGGGUAGCCGGCCUGAGAGGGUGACCGGCCACAUUGGGACUGAGAUACGGCCCAGACUCCUACGGGAGGCAGCAGUGGGGAAUAUUGCACAAUGGGCGGAAGCCUGAUGCAGCAACGCCGCGUGCGGGAUGACGGCCUUCGGGUUGUAAACCGCUUUCGCCUGUGACGAAGCGUGAGUGACGGUAAUGGGUAAAGAAGCACCGGCUAACUACGUG
Molecule: ribosomal RNA, 468 nt
Filed under: uncultured bacterium
Lineage: Bacteria
Description: partial 16S ribosomal RNA
Rfam family: Bacterial small subunit ribosomal RNA
Source: RNAcentral